GCCCUGAACGAGGGGUCUGGAG
RNAcentral lists this microRNA (22 nucleotides) under Macaca mulatta (Rhesus monkey). RNAcentral's name for it is "Mml-Mir-345_3p* (star (passenger))". RNAcentral also lists the same sequence under 2 other names. Lineage: Eukaryota; Metazoa; Chordata; Mammalia; Primates; Cercopithecidae. The record is from RNAcentral.